Molecule: small nucleolar RNA, 137 nt
Organism: Phragmites australis (common reed)
Lineage: Eukaryota; Viridiplantae; Streptophyta; Magnoliopsida; Poales; Poaceae
Product: small nucleolar RNA Z247
Exons: 1
Source: RefSeq, a predicted model, not a curated record
AAGCUCGACGACAAUGAUGUUGUGUCUUACAUCCUUGCCAGACUGGAUGCAGACUACAACCCAUUUGUCUCCUCAAUCACUAGAAAGGAUGAGAUUUCCUUGAGUGAUUUGUAUGCGCAAUUUCUUCUGUAUGAAGC